This 128-nucleotide ribosomal RNA is filed under the name uncultured eukaryote. RNAcentral's name for it is "partial 18S ribosomal RNA". It matches the Rfam family "Eukaryotic small subunit ribosomal RNA", at positions 1299 to 1458 of the family's 1831-position model. The record is from RNAcentral.
UGGUGGAGUGAUUUGUCUGGUUGAUUCCGUUAACGAACGAGAUCUUGGCCCUUCAAUGGAUGAGAUCGAUUUCUGUACUCAAGGGGACAACGCCUGUUUACAAGGCGUGGAAGUGCGAGUCAAUAGCA